UUACGGCCAUAUCACGUUGAAACACUGGUUCACGUACGAUCACCGAAGUUAAGCAAUGUCGAGUCUGGACAGUAGCGAAAAUGAGUAACGACUUGGGAAUACCUGGUGCUGUAAG
This is a non-coding RNA of Acanthosepion pharaonis, 115 nucleotides long. The record is from the annotation of a GenBank genome assembly. Lineage: Eukaryota; Metazoa; Mollusca; Cephalopoda; Sepiida; Sepiidae.